This is a non-coding RNA of Pelobates cultripes (western spadefoot toad), 245 nucleotides long. The record is from the annotation of a GenBank genome assembly. Lineage: Eukaryota; Metazoa; Chordata; Amphibia; Anura; Pelobatidae.
GAGUAGGGUUAGAGUUGGGUUAGGAGUAGGGCUAGGGUUAGGUUUGGGUUAGGAGUAGGGUUAGGGUAGAGUUAGGAGCAGGGUUAGGCUUAGGGUUUGGUAACCCAACCCUAACCCUACUCCUAACCCCAACCCUACCCUAACCCUACUCCUAACCCUAAUCCUAACCCAACCCUAACCCUACUCCUACUCUUACCUCUAACCCUAACCCUAACCCUUCUCCUAACCCAGCCCUAACCCUACUC